GUGGCUUAAUUUGACUCAACACGGGAAAUCUUACCGGGUCCGGACAUAUCGAGGAUUGACAGAUUGUUAACGUGCACCAAAGGUGUUGAGUUUUUAAACUUAACAGCUCUUUCAUGAUUAUAUGAUAGGUGGUGCAUGGCCGUUCUUAGUUCGUGGAGUGAUCUGUCUGCUUAAUUGCGUUUCAAAUUUUUUUUNAUUUCUCAGGAGUCGGGUUUACGUGUCAUAUUUACAAUUGAGUUUAUGGUUGAUCGGGCGUGAACCGUGUGUGUUUUAGGACAUGCCGACCAUCGUCCAGUACAUUACUCUUAUAGUUGUUUAUUUGGCCCCUGGCUUUUUUGAACGCAACGGACGUGACCUCAACCCUUAGUUGAGAUGCUCUUGAACCAAGCUUCUCUACGUCUGCUAGACUGCUCGACUUCGGUUGGGUGGAAAGGUGGAUAAACUUUGGGGACGUCUUAAGAUAAAUAUUUUUCUCAAACCAGAGGAAGAUUGCGGCAAUAACAGGUCUGUGAU
RNAcentral lists this ribosomal RNA (513 nucleotides) under Globoturborotalita rubescens. RNAcentral describes it as "SSU rRNA". It matches the Rfam family "Eukaryotic small subunit ribosomal RNA", at positions 1185 to 1468 of the family's 1831-position model. The record is from RNAcentral. Lineage: Eukaryota; Foraminifera; Rotaliida; Globigerinidae.